This 744-nucleotide ribosomal RNA is filed under the name uncultured bacterium. RNAcentral's name for it is "bacterial SSU rRNA". It matches the Rfam family "Bacterial small subunit ribosomal RNA", at positions 28 to 767 of the family's 1533-position model. The record is from RNAcentral.
AUUGAACGCUGGCGGCAUGCCUUACACAUGCAAGUCGAACGGCAGCACGGACUUCGGUCUGGUGGCGAGUGGCGAACGGGUGAGUAAUGUAUCGGAACGUACCUUUUAGUGGGGGAUAACGUAGCGAAAGUUACGCUAAUACCGCAUAUUCUGUGAGCAGGAAAGCAGGGGAUCGCAAGACCUUGCGCUGAUUGAGCGGCCGAUAUCAGAUUAGCUAGUUGGUGAGGUAAAGGCUCACCAAGGCGACGAUCUGUAGCGGGUCUGAGAGGAUGAUCCGCCACACUGGAACUGAGACACGGUCCAGACUCCUACGGGAGGCAGCAGUGGGGAAUUUUGGACAAUGGGGGCAACCCUGAUCCAGCCAUGCCGCGUGAGUGAAGAAGGCCUUCGGGUUGUAAAGCUCUUUCGGCCGGGAAGAAAUCGCAUGGGCUAAUACCCUGUGCGGAUGACGGUACCGGCAUAAGAAGCACCGGCUAACUACGUGCCAGCAGCCGCGGUAAUACGUAGGGUGCGAGCGUUAAUCGGAAUUACUGGGCGUAAAGCGUGCGCAGGCGGUUUUUUAAGACAGGCGUGAAAUCCCCGGGCUCAACCUGGGAACUGCGCUUGUGACUGGAAGGCUAGAGUAUGGCAGAGGGGGGUGGAAUUCCACGUGUAGCAGUGAAAUGCGUAGAGAUGUGGAGGAACACCAAUGGCGAAGGCAGCCCCCUGGGCCAAUACUGACGCUCAUGCACGAAAGCGUGGGUA